GAUGAACGCUGGCGGCAGGCUUAACACAUGCAAGUCGAGCGGGGAAGGGUAGCUUGCUACCUGACCUAGCGGCGGACGGGUGAGUAAUGCUUAGGAAUCUGCCUAUUAGUGGGGGACAACAUUCCGAAAGGAAUGCUAAUACCGCAUACGCCCUACGGGGGAAAGCAGGGGAUCUUCGGACCUUGCGCUAAUAGAUGAGCCUAAGUCAGAUUAGCUAGUUGGUGGGGUAAAGGCCUACCAAGGCGACGAUCUGUAGCGGGUCUGAGAGGAUGAUCCGCCACACUGGGACUGAAACACGGCCCAGACUCCUACGGGAGGCAGCAGUGGGGACUAUUGGACAAUGGGCGCAAGCCUGAUCUAGCCAUGCCGCGUGUGUGAAGAAGGCCUUUUGGUUGUAAAGCACUUUAAGCGAGGAGGAGGCUACUUGGAUUAAUACUCUAGGAUAGUGGACGUUACUCGCAGAAUAAGCACCGGCUAACUCUGUGCCAGCAGCCGCGGUAA
Molecule: ribosomal RNA, 501 nt
Filed under: uncultured bacterium
Lineage: Bacteria
Description: partial 16S ribosomal RNA
Rfam family: Bacterial small subunit ribosomal RNA
Source: RNAcentral